This 1096-nucleotide long non-coding RNA is filed under the name Salmo salar (Atlantic salmon). RNAcentral's name for it is "lncRNA (ENSSSAG00000086507.1)". Lineage: Eukaryota; Metazoa; Chordata; Actinopteri; Salmoniformes; Salmonidae. The record is from RNAcentral.
CAUGAGCUAGUCUCUCGUUUCAGACUGUGUUCCAAGACCUGGUGCCAGGAUUAGGUAUAACAUGUAUGAGUCCUGAUGCUGGAUGCUAGGAUUAGGUAUAACAUGUAUUAGACCAAUGCUGGAUGCCAGGAUUAGUUAUAACAUGUAUUAGUCCUGAUGCUGGAUGCCAGGAUUAGGUAUAACAUGUAUUAGACCAAUGCUGGAUGCCAGGAUUAGUUAUAACAUGUAUUAGAUCGAUGCUGGAUGCCAGGAUUAGGUAUAACAUGUAUUAGACUGAUGCUGGAUGCCAGGAUUAGGUAUAACAUGUAUUAGACCAGAUGCUGGAUGCCAGGAUUAGGUAUAACAUGUAUUAGACAGAUGCUGGAUGCCAGGAUUAGUUAUAACAUGUAUUAGACAGAUGCUGGAUGCUAGGAUUAGGUAUAACAUGUAUUAGACAGAUGCUGGAUGCCAGGAUUAGGUAUAACAUGUAUUAGACAGAUGCUGGAUGCCAGGAUUAGGUAUAACAUGUAUUAGACAGAUGCUGGAUGCCAGGAUUAGGUAUAACAUGUAUUAGACAGAUGCUGGAUGCCAGGAUUAGGUAUAAAAUGUAUUAGACUGAUGCUGGAUGCCAGGAUUCGUUUUUUACAAAUAACAUAAAAGUAUGCAAUUUUUCUGCAUCCUUGUAUCUAACUCUGCGAUAUAAUUAACCAAAAUCUACGCCCGCCUUUCCUGCGUUGCGUGACAUUCGCAGCCUACCCCACCAAUAAUUCUGCAUGUAUAAUACAGCGAAACAGUGAUUCUUUCUGUGUAUUUAGUAACACAAUGACUGCUGCCCCACCACAACACAUCAGCUUUAGGCAACAGCCUACAAGCAAAAUCUCAAUGUAGGUUAACGAGCUCCGUAGAGUUUAAAUGGACCGCUCGAUACAACACUGAUGAAUAAUAUGGACGAUACUGUGUUGUAGUCUACUUCGUAAACUAAUGCACACACUAUUCAAUUAAAUGUGGAUCGUCAGAUAGUCAUAUUUUGUAAUAUUGUUGUAUGGUGGUAUUAUACAUUUUGUAUUGUAGAUAUGUAGUGGUGUAAUAAUGUUAUAUGACGUACUGUUUUAUAUUU